AGAGGAGGCGAUUGAAGCAGCUGGUGAAGAAGGGACAGCUGUGGAAGUUCGCUGAGGUCCUGCUGGCACAGGACGAGAGCCGAGCGGCCGAGCAGCUGCGCCGGGCAUUGCCAUAUCUGGAUAGCCCGCAGGAGCCCCUGCGAGAGGCGGCCGUCAAGUUCAUCGGGAUCGCAGGGCGGUACUUGAGGAAGCAACAGGAAGAGACCCAGCUCAUCUACAAGGCCCUUCAGGACCUGACCGAUGACAUCAGCCC
Poecile atricapillus (Black-capped chickadee) is the source of this 253-nucleotide long non-coding RNA. RefSeq lists it as uncharacterized. NCBI's taxonomy places the organism in Eukaryota, Metazoa, Chordata, Aves, Passeriformes, Paridae. The record is from RefSeq and is a predicted model, not a curated record. The transcript has 4 exons.